AAUUAAUAGUAUGGCUCCUUAUGGCUUUUUCAGACAUCCUCGCUGUUACUAAUCCUCCUUGGAGGGGCUUCUCCAGCAUCAGGGAAUGUCAGGGGGCACGAGGGGGUUUGCUCAGUGUCCUGAGGGUCUUUUCUGAUUUCAAGACCUCUCCGGCUUUGCCAUGCUCUGAGGGUGUGAGAGCAUUCUGCAGCAGAAUUCCUCAAGGUAUAACCUACACACACACAGAUUAGGGAAGAAUCUAUGGAGCUAUAAAGAAUAAAAGCCAACGAUACGGAAGAGCCCAGGACAGCAGCAGUCUGGGCACCCGGGACAGAGAGGCUCUGCUGGGUAAGGUUGCCUUUUAGGCUCUGCAGGCCUGUAAAACCAAUAGUGUCUGAGCAGAGGGCAGCCUGUGCCCCAAGCCCUGCUACGCUGCAGACCACUGCUGGAAGUGUCAGCAGCUGUAAGGCUAGGCUACUCCCAGGACUCCUUGGGAGGAUCCUGUGCCUGUGCUCUGGGGGAAAGGUCACGAGGCAAAGGCUCACAGGGCUAGCCAGGAAAGUUUUAAAUUAGCCGUGGGAACAGGCAAGGCCCAGAUCAGGGAGCAGAGUGCAGGAAUGUUCUGGCCCUGUUCUUGCCUGACAUCUGCUGAGCCUCACAGCUGAGGCCUGGCUGACAGUGUCUAAAAAUACCUGAGCUGGGCCUGGAGAUCUCACACAGGAAGCUGCUAUCCAGAGUGGUGUCCGCAGAGCCUGUGGCAGCAGGGGCCUGGCUGGGCAGGACGCCUGAGUUGUUGCAAAGCUUGGCCACCCCAAGCUGUGUCCACAGGGCUGUCUCUGCCAGGACCUCUCCAGCCAGCACUCCGGUUCGUUCAGAUGACGCUUGCCCUGAGCCAUCAGGCAGGAGUGGGGGGCACAGGCCUCUCUACUCGGCUCUCUCAUCGCCGGCAGGUGUGUUGGGCGAGCUCACAGUGGAGCACCGCAAAAGCAUGGUGGCUUGGCUUUAAUAAACACCUGCCGAGCUCCCGAGCCAUCUCCACUGGAAUCUGGCAUAGCCCUUGCUUUCUGUCCCAGCCUCUGUGAAGCAGGUGCAGACGGAAGGGAGUUAUCUGGUACAGAAGGAGGAAGUCCUGGACUCAGGGUUCAGAAUUAGGGUGUACACUAGCCCUGAUGGCCCUGGGACUAAGUCAUAAGUCAGCGGACCCUUUAUGAAGCCAGGAAGUUACUGGAGUGUGCAGCGUCUCCUUAGUGCCACAAUGGCUGUUUUAUCGAGCACUUGGGCAUCCUUUUCUGGAUGACUGUUAUGUCACAGGCGACAUCCGGGAAACCCCAAGAGUGCCAGUGAGAAAGCUCUGGACACCUGGCUGAAGCCCUGACAAGGCAUCUCUCUGGCUUCCUACAAAAUGAGAUUUCAGAACACAUCAAUCACUGGACUACUUAAUAAACUUCAACCAACAGCGACCGAAAACUACCACCAACCACCAAUAGCCAAUAACCCCUCCCCAAAACACCACUAACCCCCACUUCCUACCCUAAUUAGGGCUCUAGCAUUUAAACUCCUUCUGAAAAAUUCCCAGAUUUCAAAUGUCACACAAUCACAGAAACCAUCUGCAGCUGGCAAAGUCACACACCCCCUCUAGAGCACCAGGCAAAUCAUAACCAGCUUCAGUGAAGCAGCCCCCAUAGCCCACUCCUGUGAUUAAAAUGAAACCAUACUCUUAUAAUAGUUCUGUUUUCCUUUUUUUUUAAGA
RNAcentral lists this small RNA (1729 nucleotides) under Rattus norvegicus (Norway rat). Its description in RNAcentral is "uncharacterized LOC102555003". The record is from RNAcentral. Lineage: Eukaryota; Metazoa; Chordata; Mammalia; Rodentia; Muridae.